UUGUAAUUUGUAGAGGAUACUUUUGAUGCGGUGCCUUCCGAGUUCCCUGGAACGGGACGCCAUAGAGGGUGAGAGCCCCGUCUGGUUGGAUGCCAAAUCUCUGUAAAGUUCCUUCAACGAGUCGAGUAGUUUGGGAAUGCUGCUCUAAAUGGGAGGUAUAUGUCUUCUAAAGCUAAAUACCGGCCAGAGACCGAUAGCGCACAAGUAGAGUGAUCGAAAGAUGAAAAGCACUUUGAAAAGAGAGUUAAAAAGUACGUGAAAUUGUUGAAAGGGAAGCGUUUAUGACCAGACUUGGGCUUGGUUAAUCAUCUGGGGUUCUCCCCAGUGCACUUUUCCAGUCCAGGCCAGCAUCAGUUUUCCCCGGGGGAUAAAGGCGGCGGGAAUGUGGCUCUCUUCGGGGAGUGUUAUAGCCCACCGUGUAAUACCCUGGGGGGGACUGAGGUUCGCGCAUCUGCAAGGAUGCUGGCGUAAUGGUCAUCAACG
Molecule: ribosomal RNA, 483 nt
Filed under: Fusarium oxysporum
Lineage: Eukaryota; Fungi; Ascomycota; Sordariomycetes; Hypocreales; Nectriaceae
Description: eukaryotic LSU rRNA
Rfam family: Eukaryotic large subunit ribosomal RNA
Source: RNAcentral